UGAGCUGAGGUUUGGUGACCCUACUGGUUGCACCUGCUGGUUCCUGUUUCAAUAUUUUUGUUCUCCUUUAGCAUAAAGUAAGAUGCAUGUUUUAAUCUAUUUCAUUUCAUCAUGUUUACAAGCCAGUGUUGAUGUUUUUUUGGUUUUGUAGCACCACCUGAAGUUUCAUUGAUCCAGUUCUCAGAGUCAAAUGAGGAAGGAGGUGCAGUAUGACAAACAGUGCACACAUUAAAAUAGUGCAAACGAUGUAAAUGCAUCAUUACAGAAGGUUUUCUCUCCCCAGGCGUUGUGACCAUGAUGGCCCAGGCCUCUGGCUUUCAUCCGGACAUCACCACCUUCCGCUGGUUCUGUGAGGGCAGCGAGCUGAGCCCCGUGUCUGUCCCGCAGGUGCUGGCGGCCCCUCGGCCAGAUGCUGCAGGCUUCUUCUCUUCUUCUGCAGGCCCCCGCCGCAGAGCUGGAGCGAGGGGAGACCCAGUAAUUGGCGUGGGGAGACGGUAUAUAAGACAGUCGGAAACCGGCGAGGAGGAGAGAGAGCUGAGGACUCGUGGGGACCAGGAAGCCGGAAGCCAGAGAUAUUCCGAUGAGUAUUGUGAGACAGUGACUAAGUGUGUGCGCAUGUGGCGCGAUUGUUUUUUGUUUGGUAAAUAAAAAUACCCACGAGCCUCAGACAGCUGACCCGGUCUCCUUCCUUCUUACCCGACGAACAAGGGAAAUACUACACUGGUGCCGAAACCCGGGAGGAAGGAGGGACGCACUGCCGAAGAUCCCUCAUCGCUGGGGUGAAUCUGCGGUGCCAUCGAGCAUGGUGGAGCAGUCUGCCGCCGUGGACGCUCGAGGCGGUGGGCUGGAGUGAGUUGCCGGGGGGACGGACGAGCUUGCUGCCGGAUGCCUGAGAUGUGGAGGGACGGCUGCCUUCCGGAAGGGAGCAGAGGAGUCGCCGCCGUUCGCCUGGGGCCACCACCAAAUCAUCGGCAUAUUUAAUAAUGUGCCUGCCUGGAUAUUGACUUCUGCACCUUUCAGAGUAUAGAAUAAAUAACAGAGGUGAAAGAAUACA
Long non-coding RNA from Cyprinus carpio (common carp), 1054 nucleotides. Lineage: Eukaryota; Metazoa; Chordata; Actinopteri; Cypriniformes; Cyprinidae. The record is from Ensembl.